AAGUCGUAACAAGGUUUCCGUAGGUGAACCUGCGGAAGGAUCAUUACUGAGUGGCUUGGCUCCCGUUCUGGGACCGGUUACCCGACCUUUAUGUCAUUCGCACCGGCCGCGUUGGAGCCGUCUUGCCGACGCCCUGCCUCUCGCUUGCGGGAGGGGGGUGGAGGGGAGACGAGGACGACGAGGGCGGAAUUCUUAACUUCGGCGGAGGUGGUAGGCGACCCUCUCUCUCUCUCACCGUGUGUGUGGAGAGGGAAGGAGGCGACCUGCCCGCCGCCGGCGGUAUUUCCCAACUCUUUGUGAGGAAGCAUGAAGUCUGAAGUCUUGAAGAAUAAAAAGCAAAACUUUCAACAACGGAUCUCUUGGCUCUG
The sequence is an unclassified non-coding RNA, 368 nucleotides long. The stretch from base 1 to 46 matches the Rfam family "Eukaryotic small subunit ribosomal RNA", at positions 1786 to 1831 of the family's 1831-position model.